This 77-nucleotide transfer RNA is filed under the name Sphaerodactylus townsendi. RNAcentral describes it as "tRNA-Ala". The record is from RNAcentral. Lineage: Eukaryota; Metazoa; Chordata; Lepidosauria; Squamata; Sphaerodactylidae.
GGAGAGGCUGUGUUACUCAGUAGUAGGUCAUCUGUGUGGCAUGUAGAAGGCCCCAGGUUCAAUCCCUGGCAUCUCCA